Molecule: long non-coding RNA, 901 nt
Filed under: Homo sapiens (human)
Lineage: Eukaryota; Metazoa; Chordata; Mammalia; Primates; Hominidae
Description: HSALNT0302564
Source: RNAcentral
AGUUGCAGAACAUCUUUGUAAGAAUCAGGAUCCUUUUAUCUUUCUGAUUUACCUUUCAAAAAUAUUCACUGCAUGCCUACUCUGGAGGCCCUGGAGAGAAGAGGAUAACCUGCUUUCAAGUUGCUCAAAGUCUAAAUCUGUGCUGUACCUGACAGGUACUGGCUACUUGUGGCUACUGAUUGAACACUCGGAAUGUAUGUAGCUAGGCUGAAAUUAGAUGUGCUGUAAGUGUAAAAUGCGCACUGGAUUUCAAGAAUUAGUACCUCCGAAAUGUAAAAUAUCUCAGCUUUCCUGUUGACUGAAUGUUGAAAUUGAUAUUUUGGAUAUAUUGGGAUAAGUAUAAUAUUAUUAAAUUAAUUUUACUUGUUCCUUUUAAAGCAGCUUCUAGAGUUUUUUAAAUACAUAAUGGCUCACAUUAUAUUUCUUUUGGACAGUGCUAGUCUAGAUUAAUAAUUAAGAAAGUUUGAUUGCCAUGGGGAAUCACUGGCAAAUUCUUAGCUCCAACUAAUUUAUAUUACUGUGGCUUAAUUUGGGUAUUAAAAAAGAAAAGUAAGAGUUGGAGGGAGGGAUAAAUAGGUGGAACACAGAAGAUUUUGGGGGCAGUGAAACUGUUCUGUAUUAUCCUGUAAUGGUGGAUACAUAACAUUAUGCAUUUGACAAAACCCACAGGACUAUACAACAGAAAGAGUGAACCCUAAUGUAGACUAUUGACUUUAGUUAAUGAUAUAUCAAUAUCAGUUCAUCAGUUGUAACAAAUGUACCACCUCAAUGCGUUAUGUUAAUAAUAAUAGAGGAAACUGUGGUUAGGGGGCAGGAGUGAGAGUGUAUGGGAACUCUGUACUUCCUGUUCAACUUUUCUGUAAACCUAAAACUGCUCUAAGAAAUAAAGUUUAUGAACCUU